Molecule: ribosomal RNA, 465 nt
Filed under: Vreelandella stevensii
Lineage: Bacteria; Pseudomonadati; Pseudomonadota; Gammaproteobacteria; Oceanospirillales; Halomonadaceae
Description: partial 16S ribosomal RNA
Rfam family: Bacterial small subunit ribosomal RNA
Source: RNAcentral
CCUACGGGUGGCAGCAGUGGGGAAUAUUGGACAAUGGGGGGAACCCUGAUCCAGCCAUGCCGCGUGUGUGAAGAAGGCCCCCGGGUUGUAAAGCACUUUCAGUGAGGAAGAACGCCUGGUGGUUAAUACCCAUCAGGAAAGACAUCACUCACAGAAGAAGCACCGGCUAACUCCGUGCCAUCAGCCGCGGUAAUACGGAGGGUGCGAGCGUUAAUCGGAAUUACUGGGCGUAAAGCGCGCGUAGGUGGCUUGAUAAGCCGGUUGUGAAAGCCCCGGGCUCAACCUGGGAACGGCAUCCGGAACUGUCAAGCUAGAGUGCAGGAGAGGAAGGUAGAAUUCCCGGUGUAGCGGUGAAAUGCGUAGAGAUCGGGAGGAAUACCAGUGGCGAAGGCGGCCUUCUGGACUGACACUGACACUGAGGUGCGAAAGCGUGGGUAGCAAACAGGAUUAGAUACCCUUGUAGUC